RNAcentral lists this ribosomal RNA (427 nucleotides) under uncultured bacterium. RNAcentral describes it as "bacterial SSU rRNA". It matches the Rfam family "Bacterial small subunit ribosomal RNA", at positions 355 to 774 of the family's 1533-position model. The record is from RNAcentral. RNAcentral also lists the same sequence under 1 other name.
UGGGGAAUCUUCCGCAAUGGACGAAAGUCUGACGGAGCAACGCCGCGUGAGUGAUGAAGGUCUUCGGAUUGUAAAACUCUGUUGUUAGGGACGAAAGCACCGUGUUCGAACAGGUCAUGGUGUUGACGGUACCUAACGAGGAAGCCACGGCUAACUACGUGCCAGCAGCCGCGGUAAUACGUAGGUGGCAAGCGUUGUCCGGAAUUAUUGGGCGUAAAGAGCAUGUAGGCGGGCUUUUAAGUCUGACGUGAAAAUGCGGGGCUUAACCCCGUAUGGCGUUGGAUACUGGAAGUCUUGAGUGCAGGAGAGGAAAGGGGAAUUCCCAGUGUAGCGGUGAAAUGCGUAGAUAUUGGGAGGAACACCAGUGGCGAAGGCGCCUUUCUGGACUGUGUCUGACGCUGAGAUGCGAAAGCCAGGGUAGCAAACG